Molecule: long non-coding RNA, 680 nt
Organism: Molossus molossus (Pallas's mastiff bat)
Lineage: Eukaryota; Metazoa; Chordata; Mammalia; Chiroptera; Molossidae
Exons: 3
Source: RefSeq, a predicted model, not a curated record
CCGGGAAAGUUUUCACUCCCGCAACGCUGUCUGCCGCUGUGCCGCAGCCUUCCCCAGGGUCUGGAAGGGCUCCUCCCGUCCCUCCUCUUUGCGCAGAAGAGCCAGGCGACACUGCCUGGCUCAGGCACAGUGGUCACUGCACGCCUGCUCGGCGGCACGCACCCAGCGCGACGUGACAGUUGGCUGGCCGCUGGAACCGUCCUGGAGUGCGGGCUCCACGCGCCUGGCCCCUCCUGAGAUAGCCUGGUCCAGGUGUCCGGCGGCAGAGCUGCCGGUUUGGUUGUGUCCAAAACCGAGGUCCCCUACGCUGAUCAUUUCCUUCAGAGGACCCAAGCAGUUUCAUUUACUGACAUGUUUAUUUUCUUCCCCUUUUCCUCAGGUAGACAGAGGGCGGGAACUUGAGAAAAUCAUAGGACACUCAGAGCCCAGCAGCAAAGUCAUUAAUGCAAAGAGGACUAUCAAGGGCCUUUCUUCCCAGCCCUCACCAAAGCAGAAACAAAGAUCCAGGGACAUGAUGACCUGAGGGCUAAAUCCUCCUGCUUGUGCUUGAAGAACUGGUUGUUUACUAAGAUGGAUAAGACUGGCCAGAGAAAAGGGAGAAGGUUUCAAGUGUCCAGACAUUAAGAUUUAAAUUAGUAUCACAGGAAUAGUCACCAAACAGUCAUUUCACUCAUCAAGAA